This 469-nucleotide ribosomal RNA is filed under the name uncultured anaerobic ammonium-oxidizing bacterium. Its description in RNAcentral is "bacterial SSU rRNA". It matches the Rfam family "Bacterial small subunit ribosomal RNA", at positions 365 to 824 of the family's 1533-position model. The record is from RNAcentral.
UUCGCAAUGCCCGAAAGGGUGACGAAGCGACGCCGCGUGGGUGAGGAAGGCCUUCGGGUUGUAAAGCCCUGUCAGGAGUUAAGAAAUGUAAGUGCGCUAAUAUCGCAUUUAUUUGACGAAGGCUCCAAAGGAAGCCACGGCUAACUCUGUGCCAGCAGCCGCGGUAAUACAGAGGUGGCAAGCGUUGUUCGGAAUUAUUGGGCGUAAAGAGCACGUAGGUGGGUUUGUAAGUCAGAUGUGAAAGCCUUCUGUUCAACGGAAGAAUUGCAUCUGAAACUGCGAGUCUUGAGUGUAGGAGGGGAGAAUGGAACUUCUGGUGGAGCGGUGAAAUGCGUAGAUAUCAGAAGGAACGCCGGCGGCGAAAGCGAUUCUCUGGCCUAUUACUGACACUCAGUGUGCGAAAGCUAGGGGAGCAAACGGGAUUAGAUACCCCGGUAGUCCUAGCCGUAAACGAUGGGCACUAAGUAGA